Molecule: ribosomal RNA, 216 nt
Filed under: Glomeromycotina sp.
Lineage: Eukaryota; Fungi; Glomeromycota
Description: partial small subunit ribosomal RNA
Rfam family: Eukaryotic small subunit ribosomal RNA (bases 40-216)
Source: RNAcentral
GGGUCAGUAGGUUGGUCGUGCCACCGGUACGUACUGGUCUCACUGAUUGCUCCUUCCUGAAGAACCGUAAUGCCAUUAAUUUGGUGUUGCGGGGAAACAGGGCUGUUACUUUGAAAAAAUUAGAGUGUUUAAAGCAAGCUAACGCUUGAAUACAUUAGCAUGGAAUAAUGAAAUAGGACGUUCGAUCCUAUUUUGUUGGUUUCUAGGAUUGACGUA